UCGAGUCAUAUAAAAUUAAUUCAUUAAUAAAUGUAACUUAAGCGUAGCUUAGGUACGUUGGCUUAGUUACCCCAACGUAGUGUUAAGCUAACGGCCGUACGGGUAUCUUUUUUUCUUAUUGUUUCUUAUUGUAUCGUCGUUUAAGUCCUUUGUUGUAUCCGGCCGUAGGCCGGAUACAAAACAUAGCUUAACCGUAUAACUAGGUUACGUAUUUUCCAUAAAAAACGUGCAGUAGCUAAUAAUUAUUACGAUAGCGAAGCCAUUUAAAAGUAACGCAAGGCCCUUGGUUAAAUUUACCUUAAAAGUCGCUAGUUUCUUGAAGGAGAAUCUAACGAACUACUUCAGCGAGCUAGCGCUGUGAAUAAGUUCUUUUCCUUAAUGUUAGCUUAAGUUUGGCUUCCAUCCCCUUUAGUGUUCUUCUUCUUCCCCUAAAGGGGAACUUUAGUUCCCCUUUAGGGGAUGAACUAAAGGGGAAGAAGGUGGGAUGAACUAAAGGGGAAGACUUUGGGGUUCUUCCCCUAAAGGGGAACUUUAGUGUUCUUCUUCUUCUUCGUCUUCUUUAGUUCCCCUAAAGGGGAUGAACCAAAGUCUCUUCUUCUUCCCCUUUAGGGGACUCCGUCUUCUUUAGUUCCCCUAAAGGGGAUGAAGAAGUGCUCCCCUUCUUCCCCUUUAGUUCAUCCCCUUUAGUUCAUCCCCCUUUAGGGGAACUAAAGGGGAUGAACUANAGGGGUGAAAACGAAGGGGAAGAAGAAGGGGUUCCCCUAAAGGGGAAGAACACACCCCAAAGUCUCUUCUUCUUCCCCUAAAGGGGAAGAAGGGGUUCCCCUUUAGGGGAAGAACACACCCCAAAGUCUCUUCUUCUUCCCCUAAAGGGGACUCCGUCUUCUUUAGUUCCCCUAAAGGGGAUGAAGAAGUGCUCCCCUUCUUCCCCUUUAGGGGAAGAAGUGCUCCCCUUCUUCCCCUAAAGGGGACUCCGUCCCCUUUAGUUCCCCUAAAGGGGUGAAAACGAAGGGGAAGAAGAAGGGGUUCCCCUAAAGGGGAAGAACACACCCAAAGUCUCUUCUUCGUUUUCUUCGUCUUCUUUAGUUCCCCUAAAGGGGAUGAACCAAAGUCUCUUCUUCUUCAUCCCCUUUAGGGGAACUAAAGGGGACUCCGUCUUCUUUAGUUCCCCUAAAGGGGAUGAAGAAGUGCUCCCCUUCUUCCCCUUUAGUUCAUCCCCUUUAGUUCAUCCCCUUNNNNNNNNNNNNNNNNNNNNNNNNNNNNNNNNNNNNNNNNNNNNNNNNNNGAACUAAAGGGGAAGAAGUCCCCUUUAGGGGAAGAAGGGGUUCUUCCCCUAAAGGGGAACUAAAGGGGAAGAAGUCCCCUUUAGGGGAAGAAGGGGUUCUUCCCCUAAAGGGGAACUUUAGUUCAUCCCCUUUAGGGGAACUAAAGGGGAAGAAGAAGAAGAAGAAGAAGAAGAAGAAGAAGAAGAAGAAGAAGAAGAAGAAGAAGAAGAAGAAGAAGAAGAACGAAGGGCAGCAACGUUAAGUUACUACUUGGCGCGUGCGCUUGGCACCUUGGCCUUUGUUAAAUUAUAUAAGUUACCAGUACGGCCGUGUAUGCUAAGCAAUUUGAUAAUAACUGAUCUUUUGUACAAAUAAAUUUUUUUACACAGUCGAAAAAUUGGCGUUUUAGUUAAAAAAAAUUGCGUUGCACGAUGAUCCAGCCGACGGCCGGAUCAUUUACUCAAGCACUUCCCCUUUGGGGAUGCGUUACUCAACUGAACGGCGUGCCUAAAAUUCAAAGGUAGUUUCUAUGAACAUAUUUCUUACAACGAACUUACAAACAACGAAGCCUUCGUGCUUAAGGGUAAGGUUCUUCAUCCCCUAAAGGGGAACCGAAGGGGGACGCAGGGGCCUCCUUUUAUGUCCGUUGUAGUGAACGACCUAGGGUCUUCGACCCUUGUUUGUCUUCCCCGAAGGGGAGAACAUAAGUUUGGGCCUUUGGCUUUGUAGUUUAGUAGUAAAACNGGUGUGUACUUAUGUUUGUUAUAUAUAGCCUACGGCUUUGUGUCAAUCGCCUUGCCCUGACGACUACGUUUGGUUAUAGCUUAACGCAGUUAAGCUACCUUUUCAUUCGCGAGAAACCUGGCUGAAGGCCGCGGAUGAUC
RNAcentral lists this long non-coding RNA (2149 nucleotides) under Volvox carteri. RNAcentral's name for it is "long non-coding RNA (VCAR_LNC004356)". The record is from RNAcentral. Lineage: Eukaryota; Viridiplantae; Chlorophyta; Chlorophyceae; Chlamydomonadales; Volvocaceae.